RNAcentral lists this long non-coding RNA (502 nucleotides) under Homo sapiens (human). RNAcentral's name for it is "non-protein coding lnc-YIPF2-1:1". The record is from RNAcentral. Lineage: Eukaryota; Metazoa; Chordata; Mammalia; Primates; Hominidae.
GGAUGUUGCUGUCAGGUCUGAGUCGGUUGGAGUCUGACGGGUAGGCGAGACGCGCAGGCGCAGAGAGCCCCAGCCACGCCGGCCCAGGUGGCCUCAGGCAACACCUAAGUGGACCAACCCCUCUGCCUGUCCUGCCCCCCAGACGAUGACUGAAGGCUCCUUUGACACCUUGAGAUGAUUCUGCUACUUUCCAGACUUUUCUUACAAAGCAAACACUUUUAUUUUCUAUGCAAAGGUGAUUCAGAGAAUUUAUAUAAAGGCGGGCGAGGGGCAGCCGAGCAGGGAGCUUUGGGACAGGGCUGGGGCCCCCAUAUCCCCCCCGGGCCACCUGCUUUCCCUCCUAUGGCUCCCCUGGAACAGGAGGGAGAGCCAAGGGGGCGGCCCAGCCUGGACAGCGCCCGCUCCUGCCUGGGUGCACACACGGCGGGCCUGAGCUCCAGCAUCUGAGUUUGGGGGUAUGAGAAACAGGGGAGCAGAAGGAGAAGAAAACUGCCUGUGCUGC